Molecule: ribosomal RNA, 497 nt
Filed under: uncultured bacterium
Lineage: Bacteria
Description: partial 16S ribosomal RNA
Rfam family: Bacterial small subunit ribosomal RNA
Source: RNAcentral
GAUGAACGCUGGCGGCGUGCCUAAUACAUGCAAGUCGAGCGAACGGACGAGAAGCUUGCUUCUCUGAUGUUAGCGGCGGACGGGUGAGUAACACGUGUAUAACCUACCUAUAAGACUGGGAUAACUUCGGGAAACCGGAGCUAAUACCGGAUAAUAUUUUGAACGGCAUGGUUCAAAGGUGAAAGACGGUCUUGCUGUCACUUAUAGAUGGAUCCGCGCUGCAUUAGCUAGUUGGUAAGGUAACGGCUUACCAAGGCAACGAUGCAUAGCCGACCUGAGAGGGUGAUCGGCCACACUAGAACUGAGACACGGUCCAGACUCCUACGGGAGGCAGCAGUAGGGAAUCUUACGCAAUGGGCGAAAGCAUGACGGAGCAACGCCGCGUGAGAGAUGAAGGUCUUCGGAUCGUAAAACUCUGUUAUUAGGGAAGAACAUAUGUGUAAGUAACUGUGCACAUCUUGACGGUACCUAAUCAGAAAGCCCCGGCUAACUACGUG